GCCUCAUUAAUUCCUUGUCUAUCGCAUGGUCUGCCUUCCAAGCUCUUAAUGCUUACAUUGUGGCGUCCAACUACUGCUACAUUCAUACAAAUUCUCUCUCUCACUUGCUUUUCCCAAACCCUCUCUACCUCUCUAACUUUCUGGUUUCUCUCCUCUUCUCUUCCGCUCUAAGCAGGUUUAGCUAUAUAGCCAUGGUGAUGAUGGGCUUGGAAAGGUUGAUGGUGACUUUGAAAUCUAAAAUAAGGUCCUUGAAGAUGAAGAAACCGUAUGACAAGAUUGAAAAGAGUGAAAGCAUGAGGAUUGAGAUCAGAAGCAGGAAGGCUCAGAAGCUUAUUCAAAAGACCCUCAAAAUUGCGGAUUCACCCAAGACCAAGGCUAUUGUUUUCUGACUUCUGAGUGUUUCUCAUCUAAUGAUAACAGACCAUAAAUAAAAGGCUGGUUAAUUUCUGUUUUUGAUGUUAAACAUUGUAGUUUUAUACAAGAUGGUAUAAGUAUCUCUUUUUUUUUUUGUCUGUCACGUACAUCUCUCUCUCUCUCUCUCUCUCUCUCUCUCUCUCUCUCUAUCAACCAUCCACAUGGAUGUACCAUAUCAAGAACAUAUGUGGUGGAUAUUCUUCCAGAAUUUAAAGCUGGGAAAGGUUGUACAUAUUUCUUUUUUCUUGUUUUCA
This is a long non-coding RNA of Quercus lobata, 668 nucleotides long. RefSeq lists it as uncharacterized. The transcript has 2 exons. Lineage: Eukaryota; Viridiplantae; Streptophyta; Magnoliopsida; Fagales; Fagaceae. The record is from RefSeq and is a predicted model, not a curated record.